This 2119-nucleotide long non-coding RNA is filed under the name Nicotiana tabacum (common tobacco). Its description in RNAcentral is "long non-coding RNA (NTAB_LNC004157)". The record is from RNAcentral. Lineage: Eukaryota; Viridiplantae; Streptophyta; Magnoliopsida; Solanales; Solanaceae.
AACUGCAGAAGAAAACUCAUAUACAUUCGAGACAGAACGAUUAACAUUCCAUGCUAAUACAAACAAUUUUUAGUUUAUUACGACAUAAACAAUUUCGAUCCAACUAGUACAACUUUAAGCAAAGGUCUUAAUAACAUUAAGGAGUCAGACAUUCUGAUACAUAAACCAGAAAACUAAAUCAAAUGAUCUCAUGCUUCAAUUACAGGUUCAUUCUUCGCAUUUCAGUUCACAAUUACCCAAGAUCAAGCUGUGUACCUGGUAAUCAAUUACAAUGGAAGAAGAAGAGGUCAGCCACAACAAUGCAACAGUAUUAGCAACAAACAAUAACACCAGCAGGCUGACAAUCAACAGCAACAAACAGAGCCAAGUUCAAGACCAAACCACAGUCACAAAGCCCAAGAAGAAAGAAGCUUAACCAAAACACUGAAUCUACUAGAAAUUAGACUAGGCAGUCAUAGGACAUAUUUCAGCAAUCAAAUAAUACCCAGCACCCUCGAGUAUAUCACCAAAUAUCUUCAAAUGCCCUGAACACCCAAGCACAGAACAGAAACAAAGAGAUUUGAACUAUUUAUGUUCUUGAAAUCAAUGUAACAGUGUGAGCUGAUUGUCUAAAGAAAUCUCUCAAACUCUUAAGGUUUCAAAGUGUAGAAGAAUUCAGCUUUAAAAGCUCAAAACUGAUCCUCAAACUCUCCCUAUGAGUUCUAGUUCUCAGAAACUGAUUCAAGGCUCCGUCAGAACUGAUUUUUAAGACUUAUGUUUUCACCCCAGGUCUGAAAAACUCUCCUCUUAUUUCUUUUGAACUUCUAUAUCUCUCCGUUCUCAAUCUCUAUCAGAAUCCCAUUUCAUUCUAAGGUCUGCCCUGUAUUUUAUACCUUAAAACAGACCCCUUUUCCAGCCUGUUUUAACACUUAGAUCAUUAAGAAAUGUAUUUGUUCCAUCAUAUUCCCUGACAGCCACUACUAAGUGUCUAAUUUCAUUAUUUAAUUCAAAGGUGUAUGGACAACCUGAAUUUAAAACUCAGACGUUUCCUGACAACCAGAAUGGGCUUCCACUUGAUUUUAACAGUUUCACUUCAGUGAUUUACCCUUAACUUUAUUAACUAAUGAUUCCUAAACCGACUAACAAGCAUGAUACAUAUUCAAACAACAACUAAAACAAACAAAUUCACAAAACUCAACUGAUUAACCAAUUCAGUGUUUUAUUCCAACAACAAAAAAAACAAGACAACAAUGAAUCGCCCAUAAGAUUGUUUAACAAUACGCACGAGCAUGGGAUGAACAAGUUCUAUUAAGUUGAAAUGAACCAGUUUGACUGACUAAACUAUUAAACAAGGCAGGGUUUCACACAACUGACUAUACAGACUUGUGAGACCAAGAACAGAUUCCCCAAAUAUUAUGACAAACAAAACAGCGAAUUGGCAACAGAAUAAACAAAAUGCCAAACGUUUGUUCUUGAUAAACAAAAUGGUCGAAUAAACAAAAUGCCAAAACAGAGGACUGGUCGAGUUUCAAUCCGAAAAUGACCAGAGGAAAGAAAAAGAGACGGGGAAAGAUUGACAACAGAAUAAACAAAACUAGGAAAUAAACUCACCGGCCAGGAUCGAACUGGGAAAUGACAUGCUGAGUCAACACAACAUAAUGCCAAACAUUUGAUCUUGUUGGAGAACAAACGUGCAUCAUUAUUUUAUGCUGAAACAGACUUGAAUAAACCAAGAAAUCCAAACGAAUGACUCCCUUGCACACUGGUCCCAAUUUAGGGUUCUAAAGCUUGAACUUAGAUUUGAUAUUCGACGAACUUUGGUCUGAUUCGAAAGGAAUCCAUGAUGAAUUUGUUAUGAAGGAUUCAUGGGGGGUAUGUGGUGUUGAUGUGGGGUCGAUUUUAGAUGAACUAGGGUUUGGGUCGAUUUCUUUGAUCUAAGAUUCGAGGGGCUCGUGGGUGAUUCGAAGAAAAAUGAGCGUGGAUUCGGAGAGGGGAUGGUUUGGUGGUUCAGAGGUGUGAGUUUCAUGGUCACCGACAUCGUUUUCGCCGGCUUUCAGGUGAAGGGGUAUGAGGGCGGCUAGGGUUUGGUUGGGGGUCGUUUUAGUCUCUGAUUUGGAGACGAAAGGGUGAAAAUGAGGUG